GGGCUUAGGGACUAAAUUGAAUAAAAAUAAAACUUUAGGGCAAUUUUACAAAAUGUCAAAAUAACCAAAUUGCCUGAAAUGAAUUGUUUUAUUGUCUAAAUUAAUAUAUGGAAUGAAAUUAUUAAUUUAGAUUAAGGUCGAGUGGAAAAUUGAAGAAAAUGGAAAAUUACCAAAAUGCCCAUGAAUCUUGGUAUUUCUGCAAUUUAACUAGGUAAGUUCGUAUGAACUAUAUUCUGUAUAAUUUUGAUUAAAGUGAAUGUUAAUUGGUGAUUGGUAUUAUAUAUAUAUUCUAUUGUUGGAAUUGAAUUAUUAUUGGAAAUAUAUUAUCGAAUUUAAUACUCAGUUUGGAUUGAAUGCGGGAUUUGAGUACAUUCGUAAAUUGGAGGGAGACAUCGGCAUAUUACCCAAGUAAACCAGCAUUCAGCAUUUGUUGCGAACUCUCAUGUUUUACUUUAUAUUUGGAGCAAUUUGGGUGGAUCAGCUCUCACGAGCUUCUGUUGGCGUGUUAGGGAGGACCAACUCUUAUGAGCUUCUGUUAACGAUGUGCUCUUAUCCAUUAUCGGAAGCUCGAUUGGGUUGGAAGCUUGUCGGAGUUAUAUCACACUAUCCAUCAGUUCUAUCGGGACUAAAUUUGAGGCAAAAGCAAAAUUAAUGGCCAAAAGCGUGAAUUUAGAGAUAAAAUGGGCCAAUGUGCGACACAAGGAAAAGUCGGUGCCAAAAGUACAAGCAUGGAGGAAACAAGGGUUGAAAUGCAAAAAGAAGAGAUUUUAUUCUAUCAGACUCUAUUUUAAUUAUAUUAGGAUAAUUAAUAUUAAGAUAAUUAUUAAGUAUUAUUUAAUUUUAGGAUUUUAUUUAAUUUUAUUUAAUUUUAUUUAUCUUCAAUUAAAUGUAUUUAUCUUUUGAGAGUUUAAGUAGGAUUAGACUAUCU
Long non-coding RNA from Gossypium raimondii (Peruvian cotton), 928 nucleotides. RefSeq lists it as uncharacterized. Lineage: Eukaryota; Viridiplantae; Streptophyta; Magnoliopsida; Malvales; Malvaceae. The transcript is spliced from 3 exons. The record is from RefSeq and is a predicted model, not a curated record.